CCUACGGGCUGCAGAAGUGAGGAAUAUUGGUCAAUGGACGAGAGUCUGAACCAGCCAAGUAGCGUGAAGGAUGACUGCCCUAUGGGUUGUAAACUUCUUUUAUAUGGGAAUAAAACGUUCCACGUGUGGGAUUUUGUAUGUACCAUAUGAAUAAGGAUCGGCUAACUCCGUGCCAGCAGCCGCGGUAAUACGGAGGAUCCGAGCGUUAUCCGGAUUUAUUGGGUUUAAAGGGAGCGUAGGUGGAUUGUUAAGUCAGUUGUGAAAGUUUGCGGCUCAACCGUAAAAUUGCAGUUGAAACUGGCAGUCUUGAGUACAGUAGAGGUGGGCGGAAUUCGUGGUGUAGCGGUGAAAUGCUUAGAUAUCACGAAGAACUCCGAUUGCGAAGGCAGUUCACUGGACUGCAACUGACACUGAGGCUCGAAAGUGUGGGUAUCAAACAGGAUUAGAUACCCCAGUAGUC
RNAcentral lists this ribosomal RNA (460 nucleotides) under uncultured bacterium. Its description in RNAcentral is "partial 16S ribosomal RNA". It matches the Rfam family "Bacterial small subunit ribosomal RNA", at positions 338 to 795 of the family's 1533-position model. The record is from RNAcentral.